UUUAAUUGAAGAGUUUGAUCAUGGCUCAGAUUGAACGCUGGCGGCAGGCCUAACACAUGCAAGUCGAGCGGCAGCGACA
This 79-nucleotide ribosomal RNA is filed under the name Vibrio fluvialis. RNAcentral's name for it is "partial 16S ribosomal RNA". It matches the Rfam family "Bacterial small subunit ribosomal RNA", at positions 1 to 77 of the family's 1533-position model. The record is from RNAcentral. Lineage: Bacteria; Pseudomonadati; Pseudomonadota; Gammaproteobacteria; Vibrionales; Vibrionaceae.